This 301-nucleotide ribosomal RNA is filed under the name uncultured bacterium. Its description in RNAcentral is "partial 16S ribosomal RNA". It matches the Rfam family "Bacterial small subunit ribosomal RNA", at positions 509 to 807 of the family's 1533-position model. The record is from RNAcentral.
CAGCAGCCACGGGAAUACAGAGGGUGCAAGCGUUAAUCGGAUUUACUGGGCGUAAAGGGCGCGUAGGUGGUUAUUUAAGUGAGAUGUGAAAGCCCCGGGCUUAACCUGGGAACUGCAUCUUAUACUGGGUAACUGGAGUGCAGUAGAGGGUAGUGGAAUUUCCGGUGUAGCGGUGAAAUGCGUAGAUAUCGGAAGGAACACCAGUGGCGGAGGCGGCUACCUGGACUGAGACUGACACUGAGGCGCGAGAGCGUGGGGAGCAGACAGGAUUAGAUACCCCAGUAGUCCCUGUCUCUUAUAC